UAGGGUAUAUGACACCAGGAUCCUGGUA
RNAcentral lists this non-coding RNA (28 nucleotides) under Homo sapiens (human). The record is from RNAcentral. Lineage: Eukaryota; Metazoa; Chordata; Mammalia; Primates; Hominidae.